RNAcentral lists this long non-coding RNA (234 nucleotides) under Hordeum vulgare. RNAcentral's name for it is "long non-coding RNA (HVUL_LNC009958)". Lineage: Eukaryota; Viridiplantae; Streptophyta; Magnoliopsida; Poales; Poaceae. The record is from RNAcentral.
UCAAAUAUUUAUCAUGAAUAACUUGAACAUAAAGGCACAAUUAUUGGAUCCCAACAAAUGCACCACACAAAAUUAUUACAUCAUAUGGAUCAAAGCAAAGAUGCGAUGAUCAUUGUAUUGAAGAUCAAGAGAGAGGGAGAGAUAUUGUCAUCUAGGUACUAGCUAUGGACCCGUAGGUCUACGGUGAAGUACUCACACAUGAUCAUGAGAGCAGCAAGGUUGAUGAAGAGGCCC